UACGCUCUACAACCCUUUGUGAACAUACCUACAACUGUUGCUUCGGCGGGUAGGGUCUCCGUGACCCUCCCGGCCUCCCGCCCCCGGGCGGGUCGGCGCCCGCCGGAGGAUAACCAAACUCUGAUUUAACGACGUUUCUUCUGAGUGGUACAAGCAAAUAAUCAAAACUUUUAACAACGGAUCUCUUGGUUCUGGCAUCGAUGAAGAACGCAGCGAAAUGCGAUAAGUAAUGUGAAUUGCAGAAUUCAGUGAAUCAUCGAAUCUUUGAACGCACAUUGCGCCCGCCAGCAUUCUGGCGGGCAUGCCUGUUCGAGCGUCAUUUCAACCCUCAAGCUCUGCUUGGUGUUGGGGCCCUACAGCUGAUGUAGGCCCUCAAAGGUAGUGGCGGACCCUCCCGGAGCCUCCUUUGCGUAGUAACUUUACGUCUCGCACUGGGAUCCGGAGGGACUCUUGCCGUAAAACCCCCCAAUUUUCCAAAGGUUGACCUCG
RNAcentral lists this ribosomal RNA (489 nucleotides) under Colletotrichum fragariae. RNAcentral describes it as "eukaryotic LSU rRNA". The stretch from base 166 to 319 matches the Rfam family "5.8S ribosomal RNA". The record is from RNAcentral. Lineage: Eukaryota; Fungi; Ascomycota; Sordariomycetes; Glomerellales; Glomerellaceae.